UUUGUUGGGGUUGCGGACAUAUCAUAACGAAGAGGUAUCGUAAUUGAAGAGGUUUGGAAAGACCCACCACAGAAGGUAAUAGUCCUGUAUGUUAAACGAGAAGACUUUAGAUAUGAUCCAGAGUACCACGGGACACGUGAAACCCUGUGGGAAGCAGGAGGGACCACCCUCCAAGGCUAAAUACUACCUAGUGACCGAUAGCGUAUAGUACCGUGAGGGAAAGGUGAAAAGAACCCCGGGAGGGGAGUGAAAUAGAACCUGAAACCCUGCACUUACAAGCUGUGGAAGCACAUUUCUUGUGUGACCGCGUACUUUUUGUAGAACGGGCCAACGAGUUACGUUAAGUAGCAAGGUUAAGCACUUAAGGUGCGGAGCCGUAGCGAAAGCGAGUUUUAACUGAGCGUUCAGUUACUUGACGUAGACCCGAAACCGGGCGACCUACCCAUGAGCAGGAUGAAGCGAAAGUAAAAUUUCGUGGAGGUCCGAACCCACGAGCGUUGAAAAGCUCGGGGAUGACUUGUGGGUAGCGGUGAAAUUCCAAUCGAGCCCGGAGAUAGCUGGUUCUCCCCGAAAUAGCUUUAGGGCUAGCCUCAAGGUGAGAGAUACGGAGGUAGAGCACUGAAUGUCCUAGGGGGUAUUGCACCUACCGAAGACUAUCAAACUCCGAAUGCCGUCAUCUUAUACUUGGGAGUCAGACUGUGGGUGAUAAGAUUCAUAGUCGAAAGGGCAACAGCCCAGAUCGUCAGCUAAGGUCCCUAAAUGUAAGUUAAGUGGUAAAGGAUGUGGGAUUGCACAGACAACCAGGAUGUUGGCUUAGAAGCAGCCACUCAUUCAAAGAGUGCGUAAUAGCUCACUGGUCGAGUGAUCCUGCGCCGAAGAUUUCCGGGGCUAAAACUUACUACCGAAGCUACGGCAUCAGUAAUGAUGGGUAGGGGAGCUUCCCAUACGGGUUGAAGCAUGACCGUAAGGACAUGUGGACAGUAUGGGAGUGAGAAUGUUGGCAUGAGUAGCGAGAUGUGGGUGAGAAUCCCACAGGCCGUAAACCCAAGG
Molecule: ribosomal RNA, 1050 nt
Filed under: Clostridioides difficile
Lineage: Bacteria; Bacillati; Bacillota; Clostridia; Peptostreptococcales; Peptostreptococcaceae
Description: partial 23S ribosomal RNA
Rfam family: Bacterial large subunit ribosomal RNA
Source: RNAcentral